This 631-nucleotide ribosomal RNA is filed under the name uncultured bacterium. Its description in RNAcentral is "bacterial SSU rRNA". It matches the Rfam family "Bacterial small subunit ribosomal RNA", at positions 10 to 685 of the family's 1533-position model. The record is from RNAcentral.
AGUUUGAUCAUGGCUCAGAACGAACGCUGGCGGCAGGCUUAACACAUGCAAGUCGAACGCGUGUAGCAAUACACGAGUGGCGCACGGGUGAGUAACGCGUGGAUAUCUGCCUUUUGGUUCGGAAUAACCCCGGGAAACUGGGGCUAAUACCGGAUGGUUCCUUCGGGAUAAAGAUUUAUCGCCAAAAGAUGAGUCCGCGUCCGAUUAGCUAGUUGGUGAGGUAAUGGCUCACCAAGGCGACGAUCGGUAGCUGGUCUGAGAGGACGAUCAGCCACACUGGGACUGAGACACGGCCCAGACUCCUACGGGAGGCAGCAGUGGGGAAUAUUGGACAAUGGGGGCAACCCUGAUCCAGCCAUGCCGCGUGAGUGAUGAAGGCCUUCGGGUUGUAAAGCUCUUUUGGCGGGGACGAUGAUGACGGUACCCGCAGAAUAAGCCCCGGCUAACUUCGUGCCAGCAGCCGCGGUAAGACGAAGGGGGCUAGCGUUGUUCGGAAUUACUGGGCGUAAAGCGAGUGUAGGUGGUUGUCCAAGUUGGAUGUGAAAGCCUUGAGCUCAACUCAAGAAAUGCAUUCAGGACUGGGCGGCUAGAGGACCGGAGAGGAUAGUGGAAUUCCCAGUGUAGUGGUGAA